AUGGGCUCGGGUGAGCCUCUUGGUUCUCCCAUGCCAGACUUCCCUGGGACACCGGAUGUCGAGGUCCUUGAUGGCCCUGACAAGCCCGCUACGAAGCCCUUCAACAAGCCAUUUGACCCCGUCCAUGAUAGGAAGAGGAAGAGAGGAGGCCUGAUGGAGGAGGAGAUCAAUGUCUUUUGCAGCAUGACUGAGGCGGUGAAGGAGGUGGCAACAGCCAUCAGGGAGUGCAAGCCCCUCGACGUCCACCCUGACCUGUAUGGCGCUGUCAUGACCCAGGGUGGAUUCAGCGAUGAGGCUCUCAUGGCAGCUCUCAGCCACCUGCUUGACAACAAGGCCCAGGGUGUUGGGUUCGUUGCGAUGGCCGACGCUCACAAGGGCAAGUGGUAUGCCAUCUUCAUCGGUGAGGUUCCAGGGGUUUAUAGUUCAUGGGAAGAAACCAAUGCACAAGUGGCAUAG
This 456-nucleotide ribosomal RNA is filed under the name Triticum aestivum (bread wheat). RNAcentral describes it as "partial small subunit ribosomal RNA". Lineage: Eukaryota; Viridiplantae; Streptophyta; Magnoliopsida; Poales; Poaceae. The record is from RNAcentral.